UGGUGGGUAGUUUGACUGGGGCGGUCUCCUCCUAAAGAGUAACGGAGGAGCACGAAGGUUGGCUAAUCCUGGUCGGACAUCAGGAGGUUAGUGCAAUGGCAUAAGCCAGCUUGACUGCGAGCGUGACGGCGCGAGCAGGUGCGAAAGCAGGUCAUAGUGAUCCGGUGGUUCUGAAUGGAAGGGCCAUCGCUCAACGGAUAAAAGGUACUCCGGGGAUAACAGGCUGAUACCGCCCAAGAGUUCAUAUCGACGGCGGUGUUUGGCACCUCGAUGUCGGCUCAUCACAUCCUGGGGCUGAAGUAGGUCCCAAGGGUAUGGCUGUUCGCCAUUUAAAGUGGUACGCGAGCUGGGUUUAGAACGUCGUGAGACAGUUCGGUCCCUAUCUGCCGUGGGCGCUGGAGAACUGAGGGGGGCUGCUCCUAGUACGAGAGGACCGGAGUGGACGCAUCACUGGUGUUCGGGUUGUCAUGCCAAUGGCACUGCCCGGUAGCUAAAUGCGGAAGAGAUAAGUGCUGAAAGCAUCUAAGCACGAAACUUGCCCCGAGAUGAGUUCUCCCUGAGACUUAGAGUCUCCUGAAGGAACGUUGAAGACGACGACGUUGAUAGGCCGGGUGUGUAAGCGCAGCGAUGCGUUGAGCUAACCGGUACUAAU
This 652-nucleotide ribosomal RNA is filed under the name Salmonella enterica subsp. enterica serovar Potsdam. RNAcentral's name for it is "partial 23S ribosomal RNA". It matches the Rfam family "Bacterial large subunit ribosomal RNA", at positions 2259 to 2905 of the family's 2925-position model. Lineage: Bacteria; Pseudomonadati; Pseudomonadota; Gammaproteobacteria; Enterobacterales; Enterobacteriaceae. The record is from RNAcentral. RNAcentral also lists the same sequence under 3 other names.